This 252-nucleotide ribosomal RNA is filed under the name uncultured bacterium. Its description in RNAcentral is "partial 16S ribosomal RNA". It matches the Rfam family "Bacterial small subunit ribosomal RNA", at positions 524 to 776 of the family's 1533-position model. The record is from RNAcentral.
UACAGAGGGUGCAAGCGUUGCUCGGAAUUAUUGGGCGUAAAGGGUAGGUAGGUGGUCUCAUUUGUCGGGGGUGAAAGCCUUGGGCUUAACCCAAGAAGUGCCUUCGAAACGGUGAGACUGGAGUCCUGGAGAGGGUCGUGGAAUUCCCGGUGUAGCGGUGAAAUGCGCAGAUAUCGGGAGGAACACAAAGGGCGAGGGCAGCUCGCGGGGACGUUACGACGCUGAGACGCGAAAGCGUGGGGAGCAAACAGG